Molecule: long non-coding RNA, 2262 nt
Filed under: Coturnix japonica (Japanese quail)
Lineage: Eukaryota; Metazoa; Chordata; Aves; Galliformes; Phasianidae
Description: lncRNA (ENSCJPG00005020332.1)
Source: RNAcentral
CUCCCCCCGGCCCGGAUGAAGUGUGUGGAGACAGGCGGAGCGGCCCGUGGAAAAACACCAUGGAGGGCCCGCACAAAGGGGGUUUUAUUCAAAUUUGUUUAGAGUUUAGCGGAUUUGCAUGAAAAAUGUGUGAGAAAAGCCGGCUCCAAUGACCUCAUCCCCAGCUGCCAUUAAUGUUCAAUUAAGUGCUGAAUAGCGGCAAAGGGGGGACCGGCCGGGACGUGCAGAGAAUCCAGGCUCGGGCGCAGACUGUGAGAACCGGGCGGCCCCCCCACCGGCCGUCUGGCAGCCCCUCCCCGGGCGCGGCGCCCCGACGGGAUCCCCCCCCCGCCCCCCUCGCACCGGGAGCAGCGCUCAGCCCUCCGAGUGCCCCCGGCACGGCCUGAAUCGAGGGGGACCCCUCCGGGGGGUUGUCUGGGAGGGGGCGAUGCCCGCCCGAAGCUGUCGGACGAGGCCCGGACGGGGCAGAGCCGCUCUCCGCUUCGCAGACGGUGUCAAAGCCCAAGUUCAAGUCCACGCCGAGGGGCUCUGCCCCGGGAUUCCCGGCUCCUUCCCAUCCUCCGCCUUUUGUUCGCCUCUGACAAUUGCUCUUUAUUUCUUACACACCCCCCGGCCUCCCCCCACCCCCCCGCCUUCCCGCACUUGGCACCGUUUAGCUGUCUGCCUUCAAACUUAACAACCCCGGUUCUUGGUAUAAGCACUCCAAUUCCCCCUCUUUCCCCGUAUAAACGCAGCUCUCCCCGGGUGCGGCCCCCCCGGCUCCACGCACCGGUCCCGGCCCGUCGGGUACAGCCGCGGCCGGAGCGAACUUCCUGCUCAGACACACGGGAGCGAACCGGAUCCACACAACCCCCCCCGGAGCCGCCCCCAGGCUGUGCUGCCCCGGGACAGCGCUCAGGCGGUGUUGACAGAAGAGGAUGGGUAGGAGAUAUCAGCAGCAGACAUGUGCGUCCCAGGAGAGGAUCUGCAGGACUUUGGGCAUCAUGCUGGAGAGAGAAAUGAGAGCGAGUAUGGGGCAUCCACAGGGAAAAAAACCUCAAAUCCCACAUGAGAGCUGGAGGCCCCUGAACCACCAACUCACAGCUUCCCCAGUGCUGGGGAAGGGGAGAUGGAGUGAGAAGAUCCCUGCACCUGCUGAGCACGAGGCUUUUGGCCCGUGCACCCAAAGAUGAGAUGCGAAAGAAGAGAUCCUAGGAGUUUCUGCUAUGGGAUAGAGCCUGGAGCAGGGAUGCUCUACCUUCUGCUGUACUAGGUAUCACCAUGCAGGAUUGUUCCAGCACUCAGAAUGUAGGCCUGAAGCUUAUCGUUUUGAAGCAAAAGUCAAUAUAGGAAAGAAAACUCAUUUCUGGAGCAGAUUCAGGUUCAACCCAGGGCACCAGACAGUUGUUUAUAGCAAGUGUUGGGCAUGGUGCAGAUUCCAGAGAUAGGUGUAAUUUAAAUGGUGCUGAAGAAGUUUUGGGAGGGAUUUAGCAGUUCUCAAGCUGCCUCACAAGGGCCAGGGCUGCUGUACACCAUGUCCAGCCAUUCCAGAGCCCUCUCUGAGGGGAAAUGGCACAGACCAGCAGCUUUUGCAUGCUGAAAGGAUGCUCAGAUCUCUCCUCCCAUAUAGGGAGCACCCACAAUGGUCCAUGACCAGUGUGGGGGCUGCUGGUUAGUGAUGCCUGUGCCCAUCCAUGAGGUUCCCCACAAGCUGCAUCCCUUUCCCCAUGUAUGCAUUUGUAGACUCCAGCAGAUGUAAGGUGGGGGAAUGGGCCCUCACUGGGCACUAAGCACAGCUCUGUGCCCCCCUCUGCCCCCAUGAUCAGCACCUCUGCCUGCUCUGCCCUCCCUCUGGCUGUCCUCACACCUGCAGACAAUUGGGUCCCCAGCCACCCCCACUUCCCUCCUCCUUCCAAGCUCCCCUCAGCUGUCUUGAAGCCGUAUCUGAAAUAUGCGGUAUGUAGGAGGAGAAAUUCAGUCUGACAGCAGUUUAAAACACUGCACUACUUGGCAGAUUUAAAUGCUAUUUUAAAUAUAAGCUAUGACACAACGGACAAAAAUAGCAUUGAAAAUACCCUGUCAUGUUCCAUAUUGCGAGGAGUAGAGAAGCAGACCAGGCUAGAAAGGAGCACAGAAAGAGGCCAGAUGGAGAAGAGAGGUUAUUUUGUUUGUUUUUAAGGAAAUGGGAUAAAUGUAUUUUGCAUGUGACCAGGUGAAAGUGCGGUAGGGAACACGGAGCCAAAGCCAAAUAAAUAAACAAAGAAACAAAUAAAGGAAAUAAAC